This 109-nucleotide small nuclear RNA is filed under the name Peromyscus maniculatus bairdii (prairie deer mouse). The record is from RNAcentral. Lineage: Eukaryota; Metazoa; Chordata; Mammalia; Rodentia; Cricetidae.
GUGCUGGCUUUGGCGGUACAUACACUAAAACUGAAACACUACAGAGGUUAGCAUGGGCCCUAACCCUAACAAGGAUGACACACAAAUUCAUGAAGUGUUAAAAAAAAAA